Molecule: long non-coding RNA, 800 nt
Filed under: Olea europaea subsp. europaea
Lineage: Eukaryota; Viridiplantae; Streptophyta; Magnoliopsida; Lamiales; Oleaceae
Source: RNAcentral
UUCAUUUAGCAGUUCUAAGAAUUCAUAAUCUACAUAAUCUUUGGUACACCAUGUUAAUAUUUAAUUUCAAUCAUGCUAAGAAUCAAGAAUCACCAAAUAAUAAAUUAAUAAAAACGAAUUCAUACCUGCGGAAGCCAUUGUUGAUAGGAAUUAUAGUUGUAAUAGUAGACAAGAUCUUCCCCUCCUUGCUCCUUACAAAAGUAUUAGCUAUCAACGGGGCAAGCUAAUGAAAACACAUAUGGAGAGGAGAGGGGACCUAGCCUUUAUAUAGGAAAUAAUUGAGCCGUCCCAUUACGACUAGAAUUCUAAUUAGGGUUUAUUUCCGACCCACAUACUUUAAAUUACCACAUCAAAUUAAUUACAACCCGUAAGGUGUAAAAGACCCAAUUAAUCACUUAAUAAAUUUGGCCCAAACACAAUUAUCAUUAUGAGUCAUACAUCUAACCCGUAAAAUUUGCAAUCCAAUGUGAAACCCACAUAUGGAAUAAUUAAUUAUUCCAACAUUCUUCCGCUUGGACAAACAUUUGAUUGCCAUAACAAAGUUUUAACACCCGGGUUAGACUACAUAGGUGGCCACAAAAGUAUAGCUCCAAUGAUGACACCUUACGUAACAUGAUCCGGUCCAACAAGAAUAUUAAUACCGAACAUGGAAGUUAUUAUACCAAUUUAAGAGAUGUAAGACCAUUCCACAGCUACAAAUGUCAACAUCCUUAUCGACAUGGAUCCCCAUCCUCCAACCAAUGUGGUAGUAUGUGGUAUGAACUUAGCACCAAAUGUGAUAAAAAACUGUGUUAACUCAU